This 469-nucleotide ribosomal RNA is filed under the name uncultured organism. Its description in RNAcentral is "bacterial SSU rRNA". It matches the Rfam family "Bacterial small subunit ribosomal RNA", at positions 28 to 507 of the family's 1533-position model. The record is from RNAcentral.
GAUGAACGCUGGCGGCGCGCCUAACACAUGCAAGUCGAACGAUUAAAGCACCUUCGGGUGUGUAUAAAGUGGCGAACGGCUGAGUAACACGUGGGCAACCUGCCCUUCUCAUCGGGACAGCCUCGGGAAACCGUGGUUAAUACCGAAUACUCCGGAACCUCCACAUGCAGGUUCCGGGAAAGCUCCGGCGGAGAAGGAUGGGCCCGCGGCCUGUUAGCUAGUUGGUGGGGUAAAGGCCUACCAAGGCGAUGAUGGGUAGCCGGGUUGAGAGACCGACCGGCCAGAUUGGGACUGAGACACGGCCCAGACUCCUACGGGAGGCAGCAGUGGGGAAUAUUGCACAAUGGGCGAAAGCCUGAUGCAGCGACGCCGCGUGCGGGAUGAAGGCUCUAGGGUUGUAAACCGCUUUCAGCAGGGAUGAGGCCGAAAGGUGACAGUACCUGCAGAAGAAGCCCCGGCUAACUACGUG